UGGGGAAUUUUGGACAAUGGGCGCAAGCCUGAUCCAGCCAUGCCGCGUGCGGGAAGAAGGCCUUCGGGUUGUAAACCGCUUUUGUCAGGGAAGAAAUCUUCUGAGUUAAUACCUCGGGAGGAUGACGGUACCUGAAGAAUAAGCACCGGCUAACUACGUGCCAGCAGCCGCGGUAAUACGUAGGGUGCAAGCGUUAAUCGGAAUUACUGGGCGUAAAGCGUGCGCAGGCGGUUUUGUAAGACAGAGGUGAAAUCCCCGGGCUCAACCUGGGAACUGCCUUUGUGACUGCAAGGCUUGAGUGCGGCAGAGGGGGAUGGAAUUCCGCGUGUAGCAGUGAAAUGCGUAGAUAUGCGGAGGAACACCGAUGGCGAAGGCAAUCCCCUGGGCCUGCACUGACGCUCAUGCACGAAAGCGUGGGGAGCAAACAGGAUUAGAUACCCUGGUAGUCCACGCCCUAAACGAUGUCAACUGGUUGUUGGGAAGGUUCCUUCUCAGUAACGUAGCUAACGCGUGAAGUUGACCGCCUGGGGAGUACGGCCGCAAGGUUGAAACUUAAAGGAAUUGACGGGGUCAUAGCUG
Molecule: ribosomal RNA, 579 nt
Filed under: uncultured bacterium
Lineage: Bacteria
Description: partial 16S ribosomal RNA
Rfam family: Bacterial small subunit ribosomal RNA
Source: RNAcentral